AUGCUCCCAAACAUUAUAAACCUGCAUCAGGACAUCAAUAAACUGCUACCUAACAUUAUAAACCUGCAUCAGGACAUCAAUAAUCUGCUCCCUAACAUUAUAAACCUGCAUCAGGACAUCAAUAAACUGCUACCUAACAUUAUAAACCUGCAUCAGGACAUCAAUAAGCUGCUCCCAAACAUUAUAAACCUGCAUCAGGACAUCAAUAAACUGCUCCCUAACAUUAUAAACCUGCAUCAGGACAUCAAUAAGCUGCUCCCUAACAUUACAAACCUGCAUCAGGACAUCAAUAAACUGCUCCCUAACAUUAUAAACCUGCAUCAGGACAUCAAUAAGCUGCUCACAAACAUUACAAACCUGCAUCAGGACAUCAAUAACCUGCUCCCAAACAUUAUAAACCUGCAUCAGGACAUCAAUAAGCUGCUCCCUAACAUUAUAAACCUGCAUCAGGACAUCAAUAAGCUGCUCACAAACAUUACAAACCUGCAUCAGGACAUUAAUAAGUUGCUCCCUAACAUUAUAAACCUGCAUCAGGACAUCAAUAAGCUGCUCCCUAACAUUAUAAACCUGCAUCAGGACAUCAAUAAGCUGCUCCCAGACAUUAUAAACCUGCAUCAGGACAUUAAUAAGCUGCGCCCAGACAUUAUAAACCAGCAUCAGGACGUCAAUAAGCUGUUCCCUAACAUUAUAAACCUGCAUCAGGACAUCAAUAAUCUGCUCCCUAACAUUAUAAACCUGCAUCAGGACAUCAAUAAUAUACUCCCAGAUUUUAUACACCUGCAUCAGGACAUCAAUAAUAUACUCCCAGACAUUAUAAACCUGCAUCAGGACAUAAUUAAUCUGCACCCAUACAUUAUAAACCUGCAUCAGGACAUUAAUAAGCUGCUCCCAAACAUUAGAAACCAUCAGGACAUCAAUAAUCUGCUCCCAGACAUUAUAAACCUGCAUCAGGACAUCAAUAAACUGCUCCCAGACAUUAUAAACCUGCAUCAGGACAUCAAUAAUCUGCUCCCAGACAUUAUAAAUCUGCAUCAGGACAUCAAUAAUCUGCUCCCAGACAUUAUAAAUCUGCACCAGGACAUCAAUAAGCUGCUCCCAAACAUUACAAACCUGCAUCAGGAUAUCAAUAAACUACUCCCUAACAUUAUAAACCUGCAUCAGGACAUCAAUAAGCUGCUCCCUAACAUUAUAAACCUGCAUCAGGACAUCAAUAAUCUGCUCCCUAACAUUAUAAACCUGCAUCAGGACAUCAAUAAACUGCUCCCAAACAUUAUAAACCUGCAUCAGGACAUCAAUAAGCUGCUCACAAACAUUUUAAACCUGCAUCAGGACAUCAAUAAGCUGCUCACAAACAUUAUAAACCUGCAUCAGGACAUCAAUAAUAUACUCCCAGAUUUUAUACACCUGCAUCAGGACAUCAUUAAUCUGCACCCAUACAUUAUAAACCUGCAUCAGGACAUCAAUAAACUGCUCCCUAACAUUAUAAACCUGCAUCAGGACAUCAAUAAUCUGCUCCAUAACAUUAUAAACCUGCAUCAGGACAUUAAUAAGCUGCUCCCGAACAUUAGAAACCAUCAGGACAUCAAUAAUCUGCUCCCAGACGUUAUAAACCUGCAUCAGGACAUCAAUAAACUGCUCCCAGACAUUACAAACCUGCAUCAGGAUAUCAAUAAACUACUCCCUAACAUUAUAAACCUGCAUCAGGACAUCAAUAAGCUGCUCCCAAAAAUUAUAAACCUGCAUCAGGACAUCAAUAAACUGCUCCCAAACAUUAUAAACCUGCAUCAGGACAUCAAUAAGCUGCUCACAAACAUUUUAAACCUGCAUCAGGACAUCAAUAAGCUGCUCACAAACAUUAUAAACCUGCAUCAGGACAUCAAUAAUAUACUCCCAGAUUUUAUACACCUGCAUCAGGACAUCAUUAAUCUGCACCCAUACAUUAUAAACCUGCAUCAGGACAUCAAUAAGCUGCUCCCAGACAUUAUAAACCUGCAUCAGGACAUCAAUAAUCUGCUCCAUAACAUUAUAAACCUGCAUCAGGACAUUAAUAAGCUGCUCCCGAACAUUAGAAACCAUCAGGACAUCAAUAAUCUGCUCCCAAACGUUAUAAACCUGCAUCAGGACAUCAAUAAACUGCUCCCAGACAUUAUAAACCUGCAUCAGGACAUCAAUAAUCUGCUCCCAAACAUUAGAAACCAUCAGGACAUCAAUAAUCUGCUCCCAGACAUUAUAAACCUGCAUCAGGACAUCAAUAAGAUGCUCCCAAACAUUAUAAACCUGCAUCAGGACAUCAAUAAACUGCUACCUAACAUUAUAAACCUGCAUCAGGACAUCAAUAAUCUGCUCCCUAACAUUAUAAACCUGCAUCAGGACAUCAAUAAACUGCUACCUAACAUUAUAAACCUGCAUCAGGACAUCAAUAAGCUGCUCCCAAACAUUAUAAACCUGCAUCAGGACAUCAAUAAACUGCUCCCUAACAUUAUAAACCUGCAUCAGGACAUCAAUAAGCUGCUCCCUAACAUUACAAACCUGCAUCAGGACAUCAAUAAACUGCUCCCUAACAUUAUAAACCUGCAUCAGGACAUCAAUAAGCUGCUCACAAACAUUACAAACCUGCAUCAGGACAUCAAUAACCUGCUCCCAAACAUUAUAAACCUGCAUCAGGACAUCAAUAAGCUGCUCCCUAACAUUAUAAACCUGCAUCAGGACAUCAAUAAGCUGCUCACAAACAUUACAAACCUGCAUCAGGACAUUAAUAAGCUGCGCCCAGACAUUAUAAACCAGCAUCAGGACGUCAAUAAGCUGUUCCCUAACAUUAUAAACCUGCAUCAGGACAUCAAUAAUCUGCUCCCUAACAUUAUAAACCUGCAUCAGGACAUCAAUAAUAUACUCCCAGAUUUUAUACACCUGCAUCAGGACAUCAAUAAUAUACUCCCAGACAUUAUAAACCUGCAUCAGGACAUAAUUAAUCUGCACCCAUACAUUAUAAACCUGCAUCAGGACAUUAAUAAGCUGCUCCCAAACAUUAGAAACCAUCAGGACAUCAAUAAUCUGCUCCCAGACAUUAUAAACCUGCAUCAGGACAUCAAUAAACUGCUCCCAGACAUUAUAAACCUGCAUCAGGACAUCAAUAAUCUGCUCCCAGACAUUAUAAAUCUGCAUCAGGACAUCAAUAAUCUGCUCCCAGACAUUAUAAAUCUGCACCAGGACAUCAAUAAGCUGCUCCCAAACAUUACAAACCUGCAUCAGGAUAUCAAUAAACUACUCCCUAACAUUAUAAACCUGCAUCAGGACAUCAAUAAGCUGCUCCCUAACAUUAUAAACCUGCAUCAGGACAUCAAUAAUCUGCUCCCUAACAUUAUAAACCUGCAUCAGGACAUCAAUAAACUGCUCCCAAACAUUAUAAACCUGCAUCAGGACAUCAAUAAGCUGCUCACAAACAUUUUAAACCUGCAUCAGGACAUCAAUAAGCUGCUCACAAACAUUAUAAACCUGCAUCAGGACAUCAAUAAUAUACUCCCAGAUUUUAUACACCUGCAUCAGGACAUCAUUAAUCUGCACCCAUACAUUAUAAACCUGCAUCAGGACAUCAAUAAACUGCUCCCUAACAUUAUAAACCUGCAUCAGGACAUCAAUAAUCUGCUCCAUAACAUUAUAAACCUGCAUCAGGACAUUAAUAAGCUGCUCCCGAACAUUAGAAACCAUCAGGACAUCAAUAAUCUGCUCCCAGACGUUAUAAACCUGCAUCAGGACAUCAAUAAACUGCUCCCAGACAUUACAAACCUGCAUCAGGAUAUCAAUAAACUACUCCCUAACAUUAUAAACCUGCAUCAGGACAUCAAUAAGCUGCUCCCAAAAAUUAUAAACCUGCAUCAGGACAUCAAUAAACUGCUCCCAAACAUUAUAAACCUGCAUCAGGACAUCAAUAAUAUACUCCCAGAUUUUAUACACCUGCAUCAGGACAUCAUUAAUCUGCACCCAUACAUUAUAAACCUGCAUCAGGACAUCAAUAAGCUGCUCCCAGACAUUAUAAACCUGCAUCAGGACAUCAAUAAUCUGCUCCAUAACAUUAUAAACCUGCAUCAGGACAUUAAUAAGCUGCUCCCGAACAUUAGAAACCAUCAGGACAUCAAUAAUCUGCUCCCAAACGUUAUAAACCUGCAUCAGGACAUCAAUAAACUGCUCCCAGACAUUAUAAACCUGCAUCAGGACAUCAAUAAUCUGCUCCCAAACAUUAGAAACCAUCAGGACAUCAAUAAUCUGCUCCCAGACAUUAUAAACCUGCAUCAGGACAUCAAUAAGCUGCUCCCAAACAUUAUAAACCUGCAUCAGGACAUCAAUAAACUGCUCCCAGACAUUAUAAACCAGCAUCGGGACAUCAAUAACCUGCUCCCAAACAUUGUAAACCUGCAUCAGGACAUCAAUAAGCUGCUCCCUAACAUUAUAAACCUGCAUCAGGACAUCAAUAAUCUGCUCCCAAACAUUAUAAACCUGCAUCAGGACAUCAUUAAUCUGCACCCAGACAUUAUAAACCUGCAUCAGGACAUCAAUAAGCUGUUCCCUAACAUUAUAAACCUGCAUCAGGAUAUCAAUAAGCUGCUCACAAACAUUUUAAACCUGCAUCAGGACAUCAAUAAGCUGCUCCCAAACAUUAUAAACCUGCAUCAGGACAUCAAUAAUAUACUCCCAGAUUUUAUACACCUGCAUCAGGACAUCAUUAAUCUGCACCCAUACAUUAUAAACCUGCAUCAGGACAUUAAUAAGCUGCUCCCAAACAUUAGAAACCAUCAGGACAUCAAUAAUCUGCUCCCAGACGUUAUAAACCUGCAUCAGGACAUCAAUAAACUGCUCCCAGACAUUAUAAACCUGCAUCAGGACAUCAAUAAUCUGCUCCCAAACAUUAGAAACCAUCAGGACAUCAAUAAUCUGCUCCCAGACAUUAUAAACCAGCAUCGGGACAUCAAUAAUCUGCUCCCAGACAUUAUAAACCUGCAUCAGGACAUCAAUAAGCUGCUCCCUAACAUUAUAAACCUGCAUCAGGACAUCAAUAAGCUGCUCCCUAACAUUAUAAACCUGCAUCAGGACAUCAAUAAGCUGCUCCCUAACAUUAUAAACCUGCAUCAGGACAUCAAUAACCUGCUCCCAAACAUUGUAAACCUGCAUCAGGACAUCAAUAAGAUGCUCCCUAACAUUAUAAACCUGCUUCAGGACAUCAAUAACCUGCUCCCAAACAUUAUAAACCUGCAUUAG
Molecule: long non-coding RNA, 5250 nt
Filed under: Oncorhynchus mykiss (rainbow trout)
Lineage: Eukaryota; Metazoa; Chordata; Actinopteri; Salmoniformes; Salmonidae
Description: lncRNA (ENSOMYG00000075411.1)
Source: RNAcentral